RNAcentral lists this ribosomal RNA (460 nucleotides) under uncultured bacterium. RNAcentral describes it as "partial 16S ribosomal RNA". It matches the Rfam family "Bacterial small subunit ribosomal RNA", at positions 338 to 795 of the family's 1533-position model. The record is from RNAcentral.
ACUACGGGUGGCAGCAGUGAGGAAUAUUGGUCAAUGGCCGUAAGGCUGAACCAGCCAAGUCGCGUGAAGGAAGAAGGAUCUAUGGUUUGUAAACUUCUUUUAUAGGGGAAUAAAGGUAUCCACGUGUGGAUAUUUGCAUGUACCCUAUGAAUAAGCAUCGGCUAACUCCGUGCCAGCAGCCGCGGUAGUACGGAGGAUGCGAGCGUUAUCCGGAUUUCUUGGGUUUAAAGGGUGCGUAGGUUGUUUUUUAAGUCAGCGGUGAAAGUCUGUGGCUCACCCAUAAAAUUGCCGUUGAAACUGGAAGCCUUGAUUGUGUUUGCGGUAGGCGGAUUGCGUGUUGUAGCGGUGAAAUGCAUAGAUAUCACGCAGAACUCCGAUUGCGAAGGCAGCUUACUAAGCCAUAACUGACACUGAAGCACGAAAGCGUGGUGAUCAAACAGGAUUAGAUACCCUAGUAGUC